GUGCUUGCUUUGGUAGCACAUGAACUAAAACUGGAACAAUACAGAGAAUAUUAGUAUGACCCUUGUGUAAGGAUGACAUGAAAAUUCAUGAAGAGUUCCAUAUUUUA
Molecule: small nuclear RNA, 107 nt
Organism: Sciurus carolinensis (gray squirrel)
Lineage: Eukaryota; Metazoa; Chordata; Mammalia; Rodentia; Sciuridae
Source: RefSeq, a predicted model, not a curated record